Dendronephthya gigantea is the source of this 265-nucleotide long non-coding RNA. RefSeq lists it as uncharacterized. The record is from RefSeq and is a predicted model, not a curated record. NCBI's taxonomy places the organism in Eukaryota, Metazoa, Cnidaria, Anthozoa, Malacalcyonacea, Nephtheidae. The transcript has 3 exons.
GAAUCUUAUGUGGAUUUACUUCUUUCAGCAAAAAAGUUGCGAAACGAAAUGAGUUUUUCAAGAGAGGAAGAGCCGGAAAGGAUUCCCAACAUUGAGAGAAGGAUAAGUAGGAAUGAAAAAGCGUUAUAUUCCCUGGAGAAACGUCAUGGUGUUCGAACAAGAUGGAAGAAAAAAGAAAAAGCAUAUCAAAAUGCGUAUACAAGACUUAUUGCCAAGAAACAGCAAAAGUUACUUCAUACCCUUCAUAGGAUGGCGUCGGAGAGAA